Molecule: long non-coding RNA, 2077 nt
Organism: Sardina pilchardus (European sardine)
Lineage: Eukaryota; Metazoa; Chordata; Actinopteri; Clupeiformes; Clupeidae
Exons: 2
Source: RefSeq, a predicted model, not a curated record
UCUCUCCUGGAGCAGGAAUUUGAUUAUGACUAUGACAACAUUCUGCUGAAUGAUCCAGAGCGCGCUAAGAGGGAGUUUGAGAACUGGAUCAGAUGGACCCAAGAGAGCGUAGACAGCACCCUGUCAAUGGCGCUGACUGCUGCCACCAUCAAGCAGCAGUGGCUACAAAAAGGACUGAGGCAGCGGUGCAGGGCGACCUCCGCAAAAUAGAGGAGAACAUUCGUUUGGACCACCACGUCAUACUCAACACGUAGAGCGACAGCGCUGACAGCGAUGGAGAGACAGAAACUCUUAGCCCUACCUCUGGCUAAAAAGAGCACCAGAGAAUAGUCUCUCUCCUGGAGCAGGAAUUUGAUUAUGACUAUGACAACAUUCUGCUGAAUGAUCCAGAGCGCGCUAAGAGGGAGUCUGAGAACUGGAUCAGAUGGACCCAAGAGAGGGUCUCUGUUUCAGACGGACCUGCUCAAGAGGUCAACACCAACACCAGCUGAGGCAAUUACUGUAAAAAGGAGAACAUCAGAGCUGCCGAACUGAGGAAGAAGAGUCAGAUGGAGGACCAGGAUGAAGCUGGAGAAGAUCCACAAAGCUGAGCUGAAGGAAAAGAAAAGGAGGGAAGCUCAGGAGAAAAAAGAGGAGAGGGGCCAGACCAGACAGUCCAUAUUUUGUUUCUGUUUCAGGAAAUCUUCCUGAUCAAAGGACAUAGCAUUGAUGAUGAAUAAACAAUCAACUAAUAAUUCGUCAGUGAGUCCAGCUGUUUGUUGUGCUUGUUUGUUCCAUCCAGAUAUAGAUAGGCCUAGACCUGUCUCCAAAGCAAUAGCCAUAAUAAGACCACAGUGGAGGCGAGCAAAAGAGGAGAGGGACAAGACCACACAGCCCAAAUGUUGUUUCUGCUUCAGGAAUUCUAACCAAUAUAUACUUUUAUAUUAUACAGAGAGCACGCAUUGAGAGCCACUCUCGAGAACCUUGUGCAGUUCCUUGCCAAGAAGGAGCAAUCGGCCGAGGCAUGGCAUGGAGAGAGCAAGGACUGAGGCAGCGGUACAGGCCGACCUCCGCAAAAUAGAGGAGAACAUUCGUUUGGACCACCACGUCAUACUCAAACGUAGAGCGACAACGUUGACAGCGAUAGAGAGACAGAAACUCUUAGCCCUACCUCUGGCUAAAAAGAACACCAGAGGAUAGUCUCUCUCCUGGGGCAGGAGUGUGAUUAUGACUAUGACAACAUUCUGCUGAAUGAUCCAGAGCGCGCUAAGAGGGAGUCUGAGAACUGGAUCAGAUUGACCCAAGAGAGCGUAGACAGCACCCUGUCAAUGGCGCUGACUGCUGCCACCAUCAGGCAGCAGUGGCUACAAAAAGGACUGAGGCAGCGGUGCAGGCCGACCUCUGCAAAAUAGAGGAGAACAUUCGUUUGGACCACCACGGCAUACUCAAACAUAGAGCGACAACGCUGACAGCGAUGGGGAGACAAUAUUCUGUUUUUUUAGUCUCUGAGCUUCAGCUGCCUUGAACAGGUCAUUGUUCAGAACAAGAAGCUGCAGGCGAAGAUCGACACAAAGUUGGAGGAAAAGCUGGCGCGUCUCCGGGCUGAGGCAAUUAAAAAGGAGGAGAAAAUCCGAGCUGCCGAGCUUAAAAAGAGGAGUCAGAUGGAGGAGAAGACCAGGAAGAAGCUGGAGAAGAUCCAUCAGGCUGAGCUGAAGGAGAAGAAAAGGAGGGAAGAGAGCAAGAGAGGAGAGGGGCCAGACCAGACAAUCCAUAUUUUGCUUCUGUUUCAGGAAAUCUUCCUGAUCAAAGGGCAUUGAUUAUGAAUAAACAAUCAACUAAUAAUUUGUCAGUCCAGCUGUUUGUUGUGCUUGUUUGUUCCAUCCAGACAUAGAUCGGCCUAGACCAGUCUCCAAAGCAAUAGCCAUAAUAAGACCACAGUGGGCUAUUUAAAUUGCAUCACCAGCUGAGCCAAAGGUGAAUUGGCCUACAGUAAUAUCUCAUUGCUUCAUUAACUGUUCACAUCUCAAGGUGUAUGUCCAAUUUCGUUGUACUGGUUGUUCUGAGUAUUGUAACAACAAUAAAGUUGAACCUCAUCCAA